AGUAGGCGAGAAGUUCCAGGAUGGCUUACUGCUUCCGCCCAGAUUUUUGAGUGCUUUUCCACGGCUACUCAUGAUACUCAUCUAUCCCAGGAGGCCACGCGAGAGGAUACGUCAAUAUCAACAUCGCGGAGAUAAGCGACGCGGGGGUUUUCAAAUGGACAGGAGAACACGCGUGUGUUUAUCCGGUGGAGAGAGGCUCAUGAUGCUGAAUGCUGUCAUCAAAGAAUAGGAACCGCUGUGUUGAGUCGGCAGUAGGGUUUGGGGUUCAGUGCCUGUAAAUACAUGCUUGUAGUUUGAAUAAAGCUGUUUCAUGUGUUGACUUGUA
Pimephales promelas (fathead minnow) is the source of this 325-nucleotide long non-coding RNA. RefSeq lists it as uncharacterized. NCBI's taxonomy places the organism in Eukaryota, Metazoa, Chordata, Actinopteri, Cypriniformes, Leuciscidae. The record is from RefSeq and is a predicted model, not a curated record.